This 68-nucleotide transfer RNA is filed under the name Trypodendron signatum. RNAcentral's name for it is "tRNA-Thr". The record is from RNAcentral. Lineage: Eukaryota; Metazoa; Arthropoda; Insecta; Coleoptera; Curculionidae.
GUUUUAAUAAUUUAAAUAAAAAUCUUGGUCUUGUAAAUCAAAAAUAAGUAAUUAUUACUUUUAAAACU